Molecule: transfer RNA, 82 nt
Filed under: Spirochaetaceae bacterium
Lineage: Bacteria; Pseudomonadati; Spirochaetota; Spirochaetia; Spirochaetales; Spirochaetaceae
Description: tRNA-Leu
Rfam family: tRNA
About the family: Transfer RNA (tRNA) molecules are approximately 80 nucleotides in length. Their secondary structure includes four short double-helical elements and three loops (D, anti-codon, and T loops).
Source: RNAcentral
GCGACGAUGGUGGAACUGGUAGACACGCCAGCUUGAGGUGCUGGUGCCGCAAGGCAUGGAAGUUCAAGUCUUCUUCGUCGCA